This 706-nucleotide unclassified non-coding RNA is filed under the name Hevea brasiliensis (rubber tree). The record is from RNAcentral. Lineage: Eukaryota; Viridiplantae; Streptophyta; Magnoliopsida; Malpighiales; Euphorbiaceae.
GUUUUUGAGGGCAAGGGACUUCAAAGUAAGGGAUGCAUUCGUUAUGUUUCGAAACACAAUUCGAUGGAGGGAGGAAUUUGGUAUCGAUUCACUUGUGGAGGAGAAUCUGGGGGAUGAUUUGGAGAAAGUGGUGUAUAUGCAUGGUUACAGCAGGGAGAAUCAUCCAGUGUGUUACAAUGUCUUUGGAGAGUUUCAGAACAAGGAUUUGUAUUCAAAAAUAUUCUCCGACGAGACCAAGUUCUUGCGUUGGAGGAUUCAAUUCUUAGAAAGGAGUAUUAGGAAACUUGAUUUUCGUCCGGGAGGAAUUUCUACUAUUUUUCAGGUUAAUGACCUCAAAAACUCCCCUGGCCCUGGUAAGAGAGAGCUUCGAAUGGCCACCAAACAAGCAAUUCAGGUGCUUCAAGACAAUUAUCCUGAAUUUGUAGCCAAACAGGUAUUUAUCAAUGUUCCUUGGUGGUAUCUGGCAUUUUAUACCAUGAUCAGCCCGUUUCUAACCCAGAGGACCAAAAGCAAAUUUAUCUUUGCUGGCCCUUCAAAAUCUGCUGAGACCCUGUUCAAAUACAUUUCUCCCGAACAAGUUCCAAUUGAAUACGGUGGGUUGAGUGUUGAUAAUUGUGAUUGCAACCCAGAUUUCGAUGCUUCUGAUCAAGCAACGGAAGUCUCAAUUAAACCAUCAACUAAGCAAACUGUUGAAAUUAUAAUUUAU